AAACGCCAAUGUGCCCGCCAAUCUCACUCCCCUCGCCGCCUUAUACCAUCCACAUCAUGUUCUAGCAUAUUUAAAUUCAAGCACAAAAACACAAGACGAAAAAUGCUCGUCGUUUCUUGAAAAAGAUUUGACCCAAAUUCCUACCAGCUUACGCCAUAUUGGUCCGUUACCUCAUUGGGGUCAGCGAGAUGUGUGCUGGAAAAAGCUGCACAUGAACGCGCGCGUGCUACUUACCGACUGACCAGCUGACCAUCAGAGUUAAGAACAGCGUCAGAGAAAAACUCGUACGACAAGGCGGCAACUGAAAAACAAUUUUGUCUCCAAGCUCACCCUAAUUCCCCUCGAAAGAAUGGGAAUAUUGUUCCUCCUAUACGCAACACGUUUCCUCCUGUCGGAGAGCUCCUCUAUUGCCAUUGGUUGUGAAGAGGCCCAUAGCAACGUGGCGUCAUAUGAACAGUGUGCCAAACUGCAGAUGACGUCAUUCAUUAGAUGACGUCACAGAAAAAUUAAAGUGACG
This is a long non-coding RNA of Haliotis rufescens (red abalone), 517 nucleotides long. RefSeq lists it as uncharacterized. The transcript has 3 exons. The record is from RefSeq and is a predicted model, not a curated record. NCBI's taxonomy places the organism in Eukaryota, Metazoa, Mollusca, Gastropoda, Lepetellida, Haliotidae.